Molecule: long non-coding RNA, 431 nt
Organism: Trichomycterus rosablanca
Lineage: Eukaryota; Metazoa; Chordata; Actinopteri; Siluriformes; Trichomycteridae
Exons: 6
Source: RefSeq, a predicted model, not a curated record
UCCGGCCUCUCAUUCUGUCUUCACAUGGCGGUGUUAAUGCGUGCAGCUCUCAAAAAGAGCUUUAGUUCUGUCUUUGUUUGGAAGAUGGGUGUUACCUAAUCAAUGCAAUGAUGUACUUCUUGUGAACUUCUCAUCCAGACUGAGUUCUCUAAUCUGCACCACAUGGCUAACAGUAACCGGUGAACAGGUGGUUCUGUUGCUUCAUGGGCUGCAAUGAACCUGAUUUAUAACCAACAAGUGGGCCGAAGCAAUUUUGUCUCUCUACCUGAAUCAGUUCCAUGCCAUGGAAUUAAGAAGCAGGACAAAUGAAGCAGGUAGCAUUUGAGAUGGUGACUAAAGACAAGUGCCGUAUUUAUCGAUGUAAAGAAUGUCUUCCUUGAUGUCCUUGAUCUGUAUAAUUUUGAAGCCUUUUAAAUAAAAGUUGUGAGAAA